GACGAACGCUGGCGGCGUGCUUAACACAUGCAAGUCGAACGGAAAGGCCUCUUCGGAGGUACUCGAGUGGCGAACGGGUGAGUAACACGUGGGCAAUCUGCCCUGCACUUCGGGAUAAGCCUGGGAAACUGGGUCUAAUACCGGAUAGGACCUUUAGACGCAUGUCUUUUGGUGGAAAGCUUUUGCGGUGUGGGAUGGGCCCGCGGCCUAUCAGCUUGUUGGUGGGGUGAUGGCCUACCAAGGCGACGACGGGUAGCCGGCCUGAGAGGGUGUCCGGCCACACUGGGACUGAGAUACGGCCCAGACUCCUACGGGAGGCAGCAGUGGGGAAUAUUGCACAAUGGGCGCAAGCCUGAUGCAGCGACGCCGCGUGGGGGAUGACGGCCUUCGGGUUGUAAACCUCUUUCACCAUCGACGAAGGUUCGGGUUUUCUCGGAUUGACGGUAGGUGGAGAAGAAGCACCGGCCAACUACG
Molecule: ribosomal RNA, 474 nt
Filed under: Mycobacterium avium complex sp.
Lineage: Bacteria; Bacillati; Actinomycetota; Actinomycetes; Mycobacteriales; Mycobacteriaceae
Also listed under: 1 other name
Description: bacterial SSU rRNA
Rfam family: Bacterial small subunit ribosomal RNA
Source: RNAcentral